This 260-nucleotide ribosomal RNA is filed under the name uncultured bacterium. RNAcentral's name for it is "partial 16S ribosomal RNA". It matches the Rfam family "Bacterial small subunit ribosomal RNA", at positions 95 to 354 of the family's 1533-position model. The record is from RNAcentral.
CCGGCGCACGGGUGAGUAACGCGUAUGCAACUUACCUAUCAGAGGGGGAUAACCCGGCGAAAGUCGGACUAAUACCGCAUGAAGCAGGGGCCCCGCAUGGGGAUAUUUGCUAAAGAUUCAUCGCUGAUAGAUAGGCAUGCGUUCCAUUAGGCAGUUGGCGGGGUAACGGCCCACCAAACCGACGAUGGAUAGGGGUUCUGAGAGGAAGGUCCCCCACAUUGGUACUGAGACACGGACCAAACUCCUACGGAAGGCAGCAG